This 1274-nucleotide long non-coding RNA is filed under the name Bos taurus (domestic cattle). Its description in RNAcentral is "long non-coding RNA NONBTAT025696". Lineage: Eukaryota; Metazoa; Chordata; Mammalia; Artiodactyla; Bovidae. The record is from RNAcentral.
GCCAGAGACUGAGGUGUUGGUUUCCAUUGUAUUUACCCUUCUAGGAGGAGACUUUGUAGUAAAGAUGUUUUUCUAAGGAAAUUUUUCACCUUGGGGAUGGAUCAACGUUUUGGCAAACCUGAACCGCAGAUAAACUUCCACGCUGGCUUUGCCUGACGACACUGGGGAGAUGGCCCUGCUGAGAAAAUGCAGCAACCAGCAGAACUGGAAUCACUGCACAUUCAUAAUCACAGCCCUCAGCACAGCCCUGCAAACCUGCUCAGCUUCUCCAGAAAGCUUGCUCUCAUUCUCUGCAACUUCAUGCCUUUUCCCUUCUCUAAGGAGGAGACGCACACUCCCACACACCCUCCACCCACUCUCAGUGAUGAAUCAUGUAUAACGCUGUGGCGAGAAAGCUGAAAACAUCAGUGAAGAAGCACUGUUGACCCCCACCACCAAAUGCACACACUGCCUGUGUUUACACCUGAAGACAAACCGGUAUAAACUUCCUCCCUGAUGAAAAGGGAGCAACAGCUCAUCUUGUGUCAAAAAUUGAUCACAGGUAUCCUGAAGGCCAUAGCUACCUCCUUACCUGCCUCUUUGUUCCCUUCCUUCCUUCCUUCUUCUCCUCCUCCCUCUUCCAAAUAACUUUUCUUCUCAGUAGGACAGUCCAGUAGAAGCUUCCUCACUACACAAGUCUCUACUCCAGCACACAGUUGACUCUGGGUAUCCAUGAAUACAGAGGGCUGGCUGCACUACAUCAUUUUAUUUGAGAGAUCUGGGCAUCCAUGGAUGGUCUCCAUGGGUUCCAGGAACUGGUUCUCUUGGAUACUGAAGGACAGCUGUGUAGACAUCCUGCAUUGCUCUCCAAACCCUCCCCUGCCCUGGCCUGCACCCCCUGCACCCUGCUGUGGCAUUUCCAUCAGAAGACAGUUGUCAAAGGGCUCUUCACACUUCCAUCACCCUGUUAGGCUGACUGUAUUUAUUAGGAGUAGAGAAAGCUCCCUAGUGGGUUGAGAGGACUAAAGAAAUGGCCAGAGGACUGCUUGUGUUGGAAUCUUUGUAUAGAGGCUCAGGAAUCUCCAUAUUCAGUGAGUACUCCAGGUCACUCCCAGCUCCCAGGGUAAAAACAGAAAUUCCUUUCUCUAAUGGGUUGCAAGCAGCUUUAAAGUCGUCAAACGUUGGUGGUCACGAGGGGCUGGGGACAGGGUAGGGGUUGGGCGGAAUAGGGGAUAACUGCUUAAAGUGUAUGGAAGUUUUCUUUUGAGAAAUGAUGAGACUAUUUUGGAACCAGA